GCAAAGUAGGAAACCGUGCGUUAAGUGAAGAGAGGACGGGAAGUUGUCUCUCUUACGAAAAGCAAAUUUUGCUUGCGGUGCGAUUUCCGCAUUCCGUUG
Molecule: non-coding RNA, 99 nt
Filed under: pig gut metagenome
Description: THF riboswitch
Rfam family: THF (Tetrahydrofolate) riboswitch aptamer
About the family: THF riboswitch presents a pseudoknot that joins P1-P2 and the loop of P3 and two THF binding.
Source: RNAcentral